GUGGAUUAGAUACCCUGGUAGUCCACGCCCUAAACGAUGUCAACUAGGUGUUGGAGGAGCAAUCCUUUGGUACCGCAGCUAACGCGUGAAGUUGACCGCCUGGGGAGUACGGUCGCAAGAUUAAAACUCAAAGGAAUUGACGGGGACCCGCACAAGCGGUGGAUGAUGUGGAUUAAUUCGAUGCAACGCGAACAACCUUACCUACCCUUGACAUGUCUGGAAUCCUGCUGAAAGGCGGGAGUGCCCGAAAGGGAACCGGAACACAGGUGCUGCACGGUCGUCGUCAACU
This 289-nucleotide ribosomal RNA is filed under the name uncultured bacterium. RNAcentral's name for it is "partial 16S ribosomal RNA". It matches the Rfam family "Bacterial small subunit ribosomal RNA", at positions 773 to 1060 of the family's 1533-position model. The record is from RNAcentral.